RNAcentral lists this ribosomal RNA (505 nucleotides) under uncultured bacterium. RNAcentral's name for it is "partial 16S ribosomal RNA". It matches the Rfam family "Bacterial small subunit ribosomal RNA", at positions 28 to 507 of the family's 1533-position model. The record is from RNAcentral.
GACGAACGCUGGCGGCGUGCCUAAUACAUGCAAGUAGAACGCACAGUUUAUACCGUAGCUUGCUACACCAUAGACUGUGAGUUGCGAACGGGUGAGUAACGCGUAGGUAACCUGCCUGGUAGCGGGGGAUAACUAUUGGAAACGAUAGCUAAUACCGCAUAAUAUUAAUUAUUGCAUGAUAAUUAAUUGAAAGGUGCAAUUGCACCACUACCAGAUGGACCUGCGUUGUAUUAGCUAGUAGGUGAGGUAACGGCUCACCUAGGCGACGAUACAUAGCCGACCUGAGAGGGUGAUCGGCCACACUGGGACUGAGACACGGCCCAGACUCCUACGGGGGGCAGCAGUAGGGAAUCUUCGGCAAUGGACGAAAGUCUGACCGAGCAACGCCGCGUGAGUGAAGAAGGUUUUCGGAUCGUAAAGCUCGGUUGUAAGAGAAGAACGGGUGUGAGAGUGGAAAGUUCACACUGUGACGGUAUCUUACCAGAAAGGGACGGCUAACUACGUG